UUGAUUGGAGAUGUGUCAGGAGUGUCUACUAGCACAGUAUCAAGAGUUGUUACUCUUGUUUCAGAUAAAAUAGCAAGGUUGCGAGAACGUUUCAUACGAUUCCCUACUACAACGGAAGAUAUACAUCAAAAACAGAAAGAGUUUUUUCGAAUUGCUAAAUUUCCCAGAGUUAUUGGUGCCUUAGAUUGCACGCACGUAAAAAUUCAGUCACCUGGCGGAGACCAUGCGGAACUAUUUCGUAAUAGAAAAAACAUAUUUUCUUUUAAUGUACAAACGAUUUGCGAUGCUCGUUUGUUGAUUUUAGACAUAGUUGCUAGGUGGCCAGGAUCAACACAUGAUGCUACCAUAUUACGAAACUCUCGUAUUUAUGCUCGUCUUGAGAACGGAGAGUUCGGAGAUGGCCUUGUGCUUGCUGAUAAAGGGUAUGAAAAUAAUAAACGGAUUUUAACACCCCUUCAUUCCGUUAACAAUGCAGCUGAAAGACUAUAUAACGAAUCACAUAUUCGGUCAAGAAAUCCAAUUGAACGCUCUUAUGGUGUUUGGAAGCGAAGGUUUCCAGUGUUGUCUUUGGGUAUACGAAUGAAUUGCACCAAAGUCCAAUCAAUAAUUGUCGCCACAGCAGUGCUACAAAAUAUAUGCUGCUUACAUCGCGAUACUGAAGCUCCUCCUUUAGAUCCUGAGAUUGAUAGGCGAAUUUUGUCAGUUUUAAGCAUACCGAAUAAUCGCAGCUCUGAUCGGCGCACUGAAAAAAAUGUGACGAGGAAUAAUUUAAUAAAUGGGUACUUUGCAACCUUAUAACUGCAAGUCAAGCUUUGUAAGACUAUCAAUAAAAACAAAUAAUACAACAAUGUUA
This is a long non-coding RNA of Bactrocera tryoni, 853 nucleotides long. RefSeq lists it as uncharacterized. NCBI's taxonomy places the organism in Eukaryota, Metazoa, Arthropoda, Insecta, Diptera, Tephritidae. The transcript is spliced from 2 exons. The record is from RefSeq and is a predicted model, not a curated record.